Molecule: ribosomal RNA, 152 nt
Filed under: uncultured eukaryote
Lineage: Eukaryota
Description: partial small subunit ribosomal RNA
Rfam family: Eukaryotic small subunit ribosomal RNA
Source: RNAcentral
CCCUGCCUUUUGUACACACCGCCCGUCGCACCUACCGAUUGAAUGAUUCGGUGAAACUUUCGGACCGUGGACAGGACGCUCUCGGGCGACUUGACCGUGGGAAGUUAUUUAAACCUCAUCAUUUAGAGGAAGGUGAAGUCGUAACAAGGUUU